UACAGAGACUGCGAGCGUUAUUCGGAUUCACUGGGCGUAAAGGGUGCGCAGGUGGCUAGGUGUGUUAGGCGUGAAAGCCCGGGGCUUAACCCCGGAAUUGCACCUAAAACUACUUGGCUAGAGCAUUGGAGAGGGGAGCAGAAUUCAUGGUGUAGCAGUGAAAUGCGUAGAUAUCAUGAGGAAUACCAGAGGCGAAGGCGGCUCCCUGGACAAUUGCUGACACUCAGGCACGAAAGCGUGGGGAGCAAAAGGG
Molecule: ribosomal RNA, 253 nt
Filed under: uncultured bacterium
Lineage: Bacteria
Description: partial 16S ribosomal RNA
Rfam family: Bacterial small subunit ribosomal RNA
Source: RNAcentral